RNAcentral lists this ribosomal RNA (2295 nucleotides) under metagenome. RNAcentral describes it as "bacterial LSU rRNA". It matches the Rfam family "Bacterial large subunit ribosomal RNA", at positions 441 to 2738 of the family's 2925-position model. The record is from RNAcentral.
AAGAUGGGGGGACCAUCCUCCAAGGCUAAAUACUCGUGAUCGACCGAUAGUGAACCAGUACUGUGAAGGAAAGGCGAAAAGAACCCCGGGAGGGGAGUGAAAUAGAACCUGAAACCGCAUACAUACAAACAGUAGGAGCCCGUGUAGUCGGGUGACUGCGUACCUUUUGCAUAAUGGGUCAGCGACUUACGUUUUGUGGCGAGCUUAACCGAGUAGGGGAGGCGUAGCGAAAGCGAGUUCGAAUAGAGCGAGAAGUCUCAAGGCGUAGACCCGAAACCAGAUGAGCUAUCCAUGGCCAGGUUGAAGGUGUGGUAACACACACUGGAGGACCGAACCGACUAGUGUUGCAAAAUUAGCGGAUGAGCUGUGGAUAGGGGUGAAAGGCUUAACAAAUCUGGAGAUAGCUGGUUCUCCCCGAAAACUAUUGAGGUAGUGCCUCGUGUAUUGCUCCAGGGGGUAGAGCACUGUUAUGGCUAGGGGGACAUGGCGUCUUACCAAACCAUGGCAAACUCCGAAUACUUGGAAGUAAGAGCACGGGAGACAGAGCACCGGGUGCUAACGUCCGGACUCAAGAGGGAAACAACCCAGACCGCCGUUUAAGGUCCCAAAUAUUGACUAAGUGGAAAACGAAGUGUGAAGGCUAAGACAGUCAGGAAGUUGGCUUAGAAGCAGCCAUCCUUCAAAGAAAGCGUAAUAGCUCACUGAUCGAGUCCUCAUGCGCGGAAGAUGUAACGGGGCUAAGUCAAUAACCGAAAGCGCGGAUUUGCACGAUAAGUGCAAGUGGUAGGGGAGCGUUCUGUAAGCCUGCGAAGGUGGUUCGAGAGGACUGCUGGAGGUAUCAGAAGUGCGAAUGCUGACAUGAGUAACGUUAAAGCGGGUGAAAAGCCCGCUCGCCGUAAGCCCAAGGUUUCCUGCUCUACGUUCAUCGGAGCAGGGUGAGUCGGCCCCUAAGGCCAGGCUGAGAAGCGUAGUCGAUGGGAAGCAGAUUAAUAUUUCUGCACCAUGUGCAAGUGCGAUGGGGGGACGGAGUGCGAAAGAUCAUCCGGGUGUUGGAUGUCCCGGUUUGUGAGUGUAGAAGGCCGACAGGCAAAUCCGUCGGCAGAUCUUCGAGACAAAGCAUCGAGGUUCUACGGAACCGAAGUGAUCGGAAGUGCUUCCAGGAAAAGCCUCUAAGCUCCAGCUUGCAUGUGACCGUACCGUAAACCGACACUGGUGGGCGAGUUGAAUAUACUCAGGCGCUUGAGAGAACUCGGGAGAAGGAACUCGGCAAAUUGACACCGUAACUUCGGGAUAAGGUGUGCCUUUGUAGCGUGAAGAGAGAAACACUCGGAGCGUGAAGAGGCCUCAGAGAAUCGGUGGCUGCAACUGUUUAUUAAAAACACAGCACUCUGCAAAGACGAAAGUCGACGUAUAGGGUGUGAUGCCUGCCCGGUGCUGGAAGAUUAAGUGAUGGGGUGAGAGCUCCUGAUCGAAGUCCCAGUAAACGGCGGCCGUAACUAUAACGGUCCUAAGGUAGCGAAAUUCCUUGUCGGGUAAGUUCCGACCUGCACGAAUGGCAUAAUGAUGGCCACACUGUCUCCUCCCGAGACUCAGUGAAGUUGAAAUGUUUGUGAUGAUGCAAUCUCCCCGCGGCUAGACGGAAAGACCCCAUGAACCUUUACUGUAGCUUUGCAUUGGACUUUGAACCGAUUUGUGUAGGAUAGGCGGGAGGCAGAGAAAGCGCAACGCCAGUUGUGCCGGAGCCGACGUUGAAAUACCGCCCUGAUUUGUUUGAGGUUCUAACCGCGACCCGUGAGCCGGGUUCGGGACCGUGCAUGGCAGGCAGUUUGACUGGGGCGGUCUCCUCCUAAAGGGUAACGGAGGAGUACAAAGGUACGCUAGGUACGGUCGGAAAUCGUGCUGAUAGUGCAAAGGCAAAAGCGUGCUUGACUGCGAGACCGACAAGUCGAGCAGAUGCGAAAGCAGGUCUUAGUGAUCCGGUGGCUCUGAAUGGAAGGGCCAUCGCUCAACGGAUAAAAGGUACUCUGGGGAUAACAGGCUGAUACCGCCCAAGAGUUCAUAUCGACGGCGGUGUUUGGCACCUCGAUGUCGGCUCAUCUCAUCCUGGGGCUGUAGCCGGUCCCAAGGGUAUGGCUGUUCGCCAUUUAAAGAGGUACGUGAGCUGGGUUUAAAACGUCGUGAGACAGUUUGGUCCCUAUCUGCCGUGGGCGCUGGAAGAUUGACGGGGGCUGCUCCUAGUACGAGAGGACCGGAGUGGACGCACCUCUGGUGUACCGGUUGUCACGCCAGUGGCAU